This 562-nucleotide small RNA is filed under the name Pongo abelii (Sumatran orangutan). RNAcentral's name for it is "retained intron". The record is from RNAcentral. Lineage: Eukaryota; Metazoa; Chordata; Mammalia; Primates; Hominidae.
CGGAGCGGGCGCCGGGGGCCGGCUGGCGCGGGGGCUCCGACCCCGCCCGGCCUGGCGAUGGAGUUUCCGGACCUCGGGGCUCACUGUUCGGAGCCGAGCUGUCAGCGCUUGGAUUUUCUGCCGCUUAAGUGUGAUGCCUGCUCAGGCAUCUUCUGCGCAGACCAUGUGGCCUACGCCCAGCAUCACUGUGGAUCUGCUUACCAAAAGGUGAGGGGGCGAUCCUCAGGGUGAAAGCAGGCAGAUGGAGAAUGCGUGCAGAAUCCCCCAAAUCUGUGUCUCACGUUUCUUCUCCCUUUUGUCUUUCUGAGGCUGUCAGUGCUGGGAAACACUGUUUUUUUGAGUGUUUGUGGUGGGUCAUAUCCAAGUUCUUUCAGGACCAGAGAUUUGUUGGACUGGAGUGGGCCACAGACUGACCCUUGCUCCUUGACUACAGGAUAUCCAGGUACCUGUGUGCCCUCUCUGUAAUGUGCCUGUGCCUGUGGCCAGAGGGGAGCCCCCUGACCGUGCUGUGGGAGAGCACAUUGACAGAGACUGUCGCUCUGAUCCAGCACAGCAAAAACGU